CUUAUCUCAACCCACAAGUCUUUUCGUAUAUUUUGUCUCCCUUGUCCAGCUGAGGAGAGGAGUGAUAGACCGGCUUUGGUGGGCACGUGGCAUCCAGCCAGGCCCAACCCACCACACAC
Haliaeetus leucocephalus (bald eagle) is the source of this 119-nucleotide long non-coding RNA. RefSeq lists it as uncharacterized. Lineage: Eukaryota; Metazoa; Chordata; Aves; Accipitriformes; Accipitridae. The record is from RefSeq and is a predicted model, not a curated record. The transcript has 3 exons.